This 54-nucleotide transfer RNA is filed under the name Oxyrrhis marina. RNAcentral describes it as "partial tRNA". Lineage: Eukaryota; Dinophyceae; Oxyrrhinales; Oxyrrhinaceae. The record is from RNAcentral.
UCUAGUGGAUAAGACACCAGGCUGGUAAUCUGGGGGACGCAGGCUCGAGCCCGG